RNAcentral lists this transfer RNA (57 nucleotides) under Bos taurus (domestic cattle). It matches the Rfam family "tRNA", at positions 8 to 63 of the family's 71-position model. Rfam says of the family: Transfer RNA (tRNA) molecules are approximately 80 nucleotides in length. Their secondary structure includes four short double-helical elements and three loops (D, anti-codon, and T loops). Lineage: Eukaryota; Metazoa; Chordata; Mammalia; Artiodactyla; Bovidae. The record is from Rfam by way of RNAcentral. RNAcentral also lists the same sequence under 6 other names.
UGGCUCAGAUGGUAAAGCGUCUGCCUACAAUGCAGGAGACCCAGGUUCAAUUCCUGG